Molecule: ribosomal RNA, 254 nt
Filed under: uncultured bacterium
Lineage: Bacteria
Description: partial 16S ribosomal RNA
Rfam family: Bacterial small subunit ribosomal RNA
Source: RNAcentral
UACAGAGGGGGCAAGCGUUGUUCGGAAUUACUGGGCGUAAAGGGCGCGUAGGCGGCCUGCUAAGUCGAACGUGAAAUCCCUGGGCUCAACCCAGGAACUGCGUCCGAUACUGGUUGGCUUGAAUCCGGGAGAGGGACGUGGAAUUCCAGGUGUAGCGGUGAAAUGCGCAGAUAUCUGGAGGAACACCGGUGGCGAAGGCGGCAUCCUGGACCAACGCUGACGCUGAGUGAGCGAAAGCCAGGGGAGCAAACGGG